UAGGGAAUCUUCCGCAAUGGACGAAAGUCUGACGGAGCAACGCCGCGUGAGUGAUGAAGGCUUUCGGGUCGUAAAACUCUGUUGUUAGGGAAGAACAAGUGCUAGUUGAAUAAGCUGGCACCUUGACGGUACCUA
Molecule: ribosomal RNA, 135 nt
Filed under: uncultured bacterium
Lineage: Bacteria
Description: partial 16S ribosomal RNA
Rfam family: Bacterial small subunit ribosomal RNA
Source: RNAcentral